RNAcentral lists this ribosomal RNA (279 nucleotides) under uncultured bacterium. Its description in RNAcentral is "partial 16S ribosomal RNA". It matches the Rfam family "Bacterial small subunit ribosomal RNA", at positions 506 to 784 of the family's 1533-position model. The record is from RNAcentral.
UGCCAGCCGCCGCGGUAAUACGGAGGGGGUUAGCGUUGUUCGGAAUUACUGGGCGUAAAGCGCACGUAGGCGGAUUAGUAAGUUAGGGGUGAAAUCCCGGGGCUCAACCCCGGAACUGCCUCCAAAACUAUCAGUCUAGAGUUCGAGAGAGGCGAGUGGAAUUCCGAGUGUAGAGGUGAAAUUCGUAGAUAUUCGGAGGAACACCAGUGGCGAAGGCGGCUCACUGGCUCGAUACUGACGCUGAGGUGCGAAAGUGUGGGGAGCAAACAGGAUUAGAUA